RNAcentral lists this ribosomal RNA (497 nucleotides) under uncultured bacterium. RNAcentral describes it as "partial 16S ribosomal RNA". It matches the Rfam family "Bacterial small subunit ribosomal RNA", at positions 28 to 507 of the family's 1533-position model. The record is from RNAcentral.
GAUGAACGCUGGCGGCGUGCCUAAUACAUGCAAGUCGAGCGAACGGACGAGAAGCUUGCUUCUCUGAUGUUAGCGGCGGACGGGUGAGUAACACGUGGAUAACCUACCUAUAAGACUUGGAUAACUUCGGGAAACCGGAGCUAAUACCGGAUAAUAUUUUGAACCGCAUGGUUCAAAAGUGAAAGACGGUCUUGCUGUCACUUAUAGAUGUAUCCGCGCUGCAUUAGCUAGUUGGUAAGGUAACGGCUUACCAAGGCAACGAUGCAUAGCCGACCUGAGAGGGUGAUCGGCCACACUGGAACUGAGACACGGUCAAGACUCCUACGGGAGGCAGCAGUAGGGAAUCUUCCGCAAUGGGCGAAAGCCUGACGGAGCAACGCCGAGUGAGUGAUGAAGGUCUUCGGAUCGUAAAACUCUGUUAUUAGGGAAGAACAUAUGUGUAAGUAAAUGUGCACAUCUUGACGGUACCUAAUCAGAAAGCCACGGCUAACUACGUG